Molecule: long non-coding RNA, 7970 nt
Filed under: Octopus vulgaris (common octopus)
Lineage: Eukaryota; Metazoa; Mollusca; Cephalopoda; Octopoda; Octopodidae
Source: RNAcentral
UCUAUUCUAUAUUUUUCCUUACUAACCAUAAAGAAAUAAUAGUAAGACUUAUAAAAUAUAAAGCACUACAGAUUUUAGUUACGCAAUUAGAGGAGUGAUAUAUAGAUAUGUGUAUGUAGUUAUAUUUCUGGAAAUAUAACAAUAUAUUCAAUAUGUGACCGCGUGUGUAUCGUUGGCGAUUUUUUCCCUCCGUCUUCCCUUCCUUGGAUCUUUCCUUUUUCUGUGUUCCUGACGAGGAGCUUCGCUCGAAACGUUAAAUCCUUCUUUCUUUCCUUUCCCGAGCGUCCAAUAACACUAUACUUGUUCCACGUCCUUGCGUUGUUGUGUUUUCUCUUUGUUUUCAUAUAUAUAUAUAUAUAUAUAUAUAUAUAUAUAUAUAUAUAGUGACUGUGUGGUAAGAAGCUUGAUUCCCAACCACAUGGUUCCGGGUUCAGUCCUACUGCGUAGCACCUUGAGCAAGUGUCUUCUACUAUAGCCUCGGCCCGACCAAAGUUUUGCGAGUAUAUUUGGUAGAUGGAAACUGAAAGAAGCCCAUCAUAUAUAUAUAUAUAUAUAUAUAUGUGUGUGUAUUGGUGUCAAUGUGUUUGCUUUCAUCCCCCUCCCCAUCGUUUGACAACCGAUGUUGGUAAAUUUACGACGACGAAGCAAUUGGUCGGACGCGAUGUUUCGAGUGGUACGGGCGCUUCAAAAGCAGAAGAACGUCCAUAGAAGACAAUGAGCGAUCUGGAGACCCUGCUACGAGCGUCACCCCCGGAAAUAUGGAGAAAAUUCAUCAGCUAGUGCACGAGGAUUGUCGGAGGACAAUCAACGACAUUGCUGAUGUUGGUCUGUCGUAUGGGUCUGUGCAGGCAAUUCUCACCUCUGAAUUGAACAUGCGGCGUAUCUCUGCCAAGUUUGUGCACCACCUACUGACCAUUGAGCAGAAAGAAUAUCGCGUCGAAGUCUGUCAAGAUCUCUGUCAGUGUGCCGCUGAUGACCCAUCCUUCAUGUCGAGGAUCAUCGUCGGUGAUUAGAGCUGGGUCUACGGGUACGACCCUGAGACGUAGCAGCAGCCGUCACAAUGGAAGAACCCUUCAUCUCCACGACGGAAGAAAGCACGACAGAGCCGCAACUCAAUCAAGACCAUGCUCAUCGUUUUUUUUUUUUUUUUUUUUUUCCCCGAUAUCCACGGUAUUUUGCAUCGAGAAUUCGUUCCUCAAGACCGGACCGUCAAUCAAAAGUUCUACUGCGACGUUUUGAAGCGCCUGAGGGAAGACAUUCGGCGAAAUCGACCGGAUCUGUGGAGUACGAAGAAUUGGAUUCUUCACAACAAUGUACCCUGUCGCCGUGCUCUCCUCACUCGUGAGUUUCUCGCCAAAAACAACAUGGUAUUGCUUCCGCAACCGCCAGAUUUAGCACCCGCGGACUUCCAUCUCUUCCUCAAGAUGAAGAUGCAACUCAAAGGUCGCCGUUUUAACACCAUUGUCGAGAUCCAGAGUGAAUCGCAAAAGGUCCUCGACUCGCUCACGGAAAACGACUUCCGGGCCGGAUUCCAAAAAUGGAAGGAACUCUGGGAUGGGUGUACUGUUGCGCAAAGUGACUAUUCCGAUGGAGAUGAUGUUAAAACUUAGGUAAAUAAGUUAUUUUUUAUUAAACAUAACAAGUCCUGGAACUUUUUGGUGCCACCUUGUAUAUAAAAUAUAUACGAGCAAACAAUUUUUUUUUUUAGAAAUCUUCACUACUCCCAAAAUAUCUAAUAAAGUACAUGCAAAACUCAGUUACUUAAUUCUAGGAGUGGCUGUGUGGUAAGUAGCUUGCUUACCAACCACAUGGUUCCGGGUUCAGUCACACUGCGUGGUACCUUGGGCAAGUGUCUUCUACUAUAGCCUCGGGCUGACCAAAGCCUUGUGAGUGGAUUUGGUAGACAGAAACUGAAAGAAGCCUGUCGUAUAUAUAUAUAUAUAUAUAUAUAUAUAUAUAUACAUCGCUUGGCAACCGAUGGUGAUGUGUUUACGUCCCCAUAACUUAGCGGUUCGGCAAAAUAGACCGAUAGAAUAAGUACUAGGCUUACAAAGAAUAAGUCCUGGGGUUGAUUUGCUCGACUAAAGGCGGUGCUCCAGCAUGGCCGCAGUCAAAUGACUGAAACAAGUAAAAGUUCUAUUUACAUACUGCUAAUUAUAUUUUUGAAAUUAGGUGUUAAUCGUCGGUAAAUAACAUCUAAUUGAAUCCAGAGAAACAUUUUCAAUUAAUUAUGGUUCCUUAGUGAGUGACGAAGAUUAAACUUUCAGUGUCCCGAAUAGGUAUCAGAUUCUAAAAUGGCUCAAGUUUCAAAUUUUGUAGAAGUGAAGUCACAAAUAAAUUAAAUUUUGGGAUAUAAAACUUUCAAUGACACCUUUAAUUUUUUUUUCUAAUAUCAUGACUUAAAACCACAAUGGAAUUCAAAUAUGAAAAAAAAACAAAAAGGCUGUAUUGACUUUAUAUUAUGAACCUCAACAUAUUUUUAGCUUGUUUGAUUUUCUCCUAAUUACGUAAACGGUGACGGUAAAGGAUACGCACACCACCCGUUUUCAGCGUAAGAAAAACCCUAACCACCGCAUGUGCGUAUUCUUUAUCUUCGGCACAUAAAUAGUCCUUGCAUGCCUUUUUCAUACACGAAAUUCUGGUUGUGACAAAAGAAGGGCUUCAAAGUGGCACGGAAGAUUUUAAACUGCUAAAGUAUAUUUUGGCCGAAGUUAUUAGCACCCCGUCCUACGUCAACAUUAUUCACGACCCUAGCUUCGGUCUGUGACUCUUCCAAUCAUUUACGCUAACAAUAAUGGGUUAAUGUUUACUUUUAACUCCCGGUCACCAAAAAAAACAACAAAAAAACAAGUGUAAUAGGUGUAAAAAAAAUGUGUUUUAAACGAAUACGAAAGCAAAAAUUUGGAUGGGGAGAGGACUUUCGGAAAAUUCACAUGAUGCUAUUUUUUCCCUCAUUAUAACUUUUUUGGAAAAUGGAUAUCUUUUAAUGAAAUUUUAUAUAAAUACCUUUCAAACGGCAUAGAUUACAAUUAUAAAGAAAUUUGCGGGGAAAUUUUUUUUCCGAGGAGGGAGGACUUUCAAGGAGAAAGAAAUUCAUAAAUUAUUUUUUUGCUUGAGUGUAUGGAAAUAAGUUAGAAAAAAAAUUUUAGAUUCAUCAAUUUUUCGUUUGAGUAAUAGGAAAAAAGUUUUAAAAAAGAUCCCAACGGUGGAGAUGUGCUAAAAACAACAGCUAAAUCGCCCAUAACAUUUCUUUUCGUUAGUGAAACCAUAUUCAACACUGUAUUUAUGAAUUUGUUUCUCUCACUAUGAUACAUAACUUAGAUUGGUUUCGGCCAGUAGCACCACCCGGUAAAGACUUUUAGUUAAUUAUUUCAGGACACCAUGGACCACUCAAGCAGAGAGUUGUUGGUUGAGAUGUAUCCAGGUGUAGGUGGUCUAUCCAGUAUUUCGUGGAGGAAUUUGUCCAGGUACUGUUUGAAAGUUGUGGGGUUGUUUUCUACUUUAAUUUCUUUCGGGAUAACAUUGGGAAGAGCAGGACCAUUUGCAGUGAAGAAUUUGUCGCAAUGUUCUUAUGCGAUGUAAUCUCGACCUUUAUAGGGGAUGCAUUGCACGGGGGCCUAGUCUUGGGUAAAUUGUAAACAUAAUACCAAUAUCAUUUGGAUAAUAUUGGUGAAAUAUUUUCCACAUGGUGCAAAUAAUGUAUUGCUCAUGGCAGUGUUGCCAAGAAUAAAGUUUCAGCUGUUUAAGUUGAGCCCAAUAAUCAAGUCCCAUCAUGCCAUUUAUUUUUCUUGUGAUUGAUCUUUGUGGCUCUUUGAUCCUCGUUAUGUCUUGUUUCUUGUAGGGAGACCACAAUGGGCAGCAGUAUUCAAGGUGGGGCCUAGCGAAUGUGGAGAGAAUAGAGAAGAGAAGGAUGAUGGUUCCAUGAUCCCUAGAUUGAAAAGUUCUGAGGAUCCAUGAGCACAUUCUGCGAGCAACAUCGACUUUUUUGUUGAUGUGCACACUCCAGCUAAAGUUGCUGUCGAUAGUUACACCUAAAUCUCUGAUAUUUGAUGGUUCAAGUAGGUCUCCCAACGGUAGUGUAUAUGGCUGUUUGAGUGUGCCCUCAUUUCCAAACUGCACAUUGUUUUUUGUGCCCACUGGGUUACUGCGCAUAGGUCCGAUUGAAGCGUUAUUCGAUCAUAUGCUCCCUUAAUGACUUUCUGGAGCUUAGAGACUUCUGCAAAUGUUUUAAUUGUGCUAUGUUCAAUGGAAUCGGCAAUGUCAUUGAUAUAGAUAAUAAAAAGAAGUGGACCCUUUCUCUUUGAAAGUCUUCUCUCCACCCACUCAGAAAAAUUUUCCCCAUAAAUUUCUUUAUAAUCAUAAUCUAUGCUGUUUGAAAUGUAUAUAUAUAAAAUUUCAUCAAAAGAUAUCCAUUUCCCUAAAAGUUAUGAGGGGGAAAAAAUCGGAUCUUGUGAAUUUUCUGAAAGUCCUCUCCCCACUCCCAGUUCGUUGGUACAAAUUUUUGUUUUCAUAUUCGUUUAGUACACACUUUUUUACACCUAUUGCAUUUGUUUUUAUUUUUUGUUUUGGUGACCAGGAGUUAAGGUAAACAUUAACCCCGGUUAAUGUUUACUUUAACUACACUUCAAAUUACUUCACUAAACAUGUCAAUUCCUGGCUAUUAUGCCUAGAGUACAGAUUUAGUGUGUGCUCAUCAGAUUUUUGUUUUCACCAAAUGCAUUAAGUUUUACCAAAAGCUUUGUGAUAUUCAAGCUCAAAUCAUCCAGAAGAUUCAGCAGGCUUUGGCAAUGAUGCCACGGCAAAACUCAGAUCAAGGAGAAGUACAACUGCUUCAAACAUGGCUGCACCUCAGUGAAGAGCAAGGCAUGCUCAGGCAGGCCAUCCACAAGCCGAAAUGAGGAACCGAUCAGGAAGAUUUCACAAAUAAUCAUGAAAGACUGUUGUGUAAUAAACUAGGAAAUUGCUCAUGAAGUCGAAACAAGCACAAGAUCAGUGCAUUCCAUUUUAACAGAGGAUUUGUUCAUUCAGAAGGUGUCAUUCCCAAGGUGCUGGGAGAGCAGCAGAAUCAACUCCACAUGGAAAUCACUCAAGACAUGUUGGACAGCGCAGACCAUAAUCUGAACUUCGUGAAGACCUAACUUUCAUCAUUGUUAAUGUUGUUUUGGGAGCAUUGGUAGUGCACUUCUGUACUGCUGUGUAUCAUCUGGUCAAGUUAACUUCAAAUUUUGUCAUCUAUCUUCUUGACUAUCAUAUUUCUCCUCACCAAGCACUUUAUUUAUUUAUCAUCAUCAUCAUCAUCGUUUAAUGUCCAUUUUCCACGCUGGUAUGGGUUGGACAGUUUGACUGAGGUCUGGAGAGCCAGUUGCUGCACCAGGCUCUAAACUGAUCUGGUAAUGUUUCUACAGUUGGAUGCCCUUCCUAACGCCAACCACUCCAAGAGUGUAGUGGGUGCUUUUUAUGUGCCAUCAGCACAGGAGCCAGUCAGGCAGGGCUGGCAUCGAUCACAUUUGGAUAGUACUUUUUAAGUGCCUCUGGCACAGGGACCAGUCCAAGGGUGCUGACAUUGGCCAUGUUCAGAUGGUGCUUUUUAUGUGCCACCAGCACGGGAACCAGUCAGUGGGUACUGGCAUUGUCCUCAUUCAGAUGGUGCUUUUUAUGUGCCACAGGCACAGGAGCCAGUUGGUCAGACCUGGCAUCAACCACGUUCAGAUGUUGCUUUUUAUGUGCCAGUCAGAGGCCACUGGCCGCAGCUACAAUAUUGGUUUAACUUGACUCAACAGGUCUUCCCACAUAUCAUAUCACCCGACACAUUGGAGGUACUCUUAACUGGGCCAUACAUGUAUGGCUGUGAUCUCACUUUAGUUGCUGGGUCUUCUCAAUCACAGCCUAUCUCCAAAAGUCUUGGUCUCCUGUCAUUGCCUCUAUGAGGUCCAAUGUUUGAAAGUUAUGCUUCACCACUUCAUCCUAUGUCUUCCUGGGUCUAAAUCUUCCACAGGUUCCUUCCACAGUUAGGAAGUGGCACUUCCUCACACAGCUCUUCUCAUCCAUAUGGAACACAUGACCAUACAAACGCAGUCGUCUCUCUUGCACACCACAUUUGAUACUUUUUAUGCCCAACUUUUCUCUCAGAGUGCUUACAUUCUGUCAUGUAUGCACACUGACAUUACACAUCCAGCAGAUCUUACUAGCUUCAUUUCUUUCAAACCUACACAUGUCCUCAACAGUCAUGGCCCAUGUUUCACUGCUGUGUAGCAUGGCAGUUCACACACAUGCAUCAUACAUACAGUCUACCUUUCAACCUGAGCGAGAGGCCCUUGCCAGCAGAGGUAGGAGCUCCCUGAACUUUGCCCAGGCUAUUCUUAUUCUAGUCGCUACACUCUCAGAGCAACCACCUCUACUACAGACUUGGUCACCUAAGUAGUGGAAGCUAUUAACUACUUCUAGUUUCUCCGUCUGGCAUGUAACGGAAUCUGUUUUCUGUAUAUCUUCCGUGUUUAUUGCCCCUGUGCAUCUGCCACACACAAAAACUAUCUUCCUGGUUAACCUUCCUUUGAUAUUGCUGCACCUUUUAUGUGUUCAUAGCUAACACUAGGUACAUCGUAUGGAGUUUCUGCCCAUGCCUUUUCUACAGAUCAAGCAGGGCCAUCUACCUGAAGGGGGUUUUGAUUUGACAGCCUUCCUACUUACUAAGACUGGUUUUUGCUAGGUUAACCCUAAAGCCCUUCUAUUCUAGACUUUGCUUCUACACCCUAAACUUCGUCUUUAGUUCUGGCAAUGACUCAGCUAUUAGAAUAAAGUCAUCAGCAUAGAGGAGCUCCCAGGGGCAGCUGGACAGCUGUUAUUGCCUGGAGGACUAUAAUGAACAAGAGGGGGCUGAUCCUUGGUGAACCCCUACGUCUACUCGGAAUUCUUCACUAUACUCGUUACCAACCCUCACCUUACUGACAGCAUCCCUGUACAGGGUUUGUACAACUCUUCCCAACCACUCGUCUAUCCCCAGUUUCCGCAUUGACCACCAGAUAAGGGAUUGGGUCACCCUGUUAAAGGCUUUCUCUUCGUCAACAAAAGCCAAGUACAGAGGUUUAUCUUUGGCUAGAUAUUUCUCCUGCAGUUGCCUGACUUGUUAAAAAUAGAAGCCAAAUCUCUUUCAACCAAGACAAAGAAUUGAGGGGUCUUUUUACUUCUAAAAGCUGAAAUAUUUUGAUGGUUAGCUGAUUUAAGAAAUAGUUCAAUAAUCUUAGAACAGAUCAAUGGUUAGUUUUAUGGCCAGUCCAAACACAAGUUUGUGUUGAGAUGAAAGUAUGAAGUGUCUGUAUUUGUAUAGAAUUUUUCACAAAGGUAUGCAAUUUUCUUAAUUUGGAUGUUAGCAUCUGUUUCGAGAUACUUUUUUUUUUAACAUUUGUCUUAUAUUACAUUAUUAUAUCAAUGACAUUUCUUUAUGAAAUUAUCUGGAUUUAUCUUUCUUUUCUUUUCAUUAACAGAUGCAACCAGAAUUUAAUGUUGAAAGCCUAUAUUACUAUUUACUCCUGUUCCCAGCAACUGUGGUAGUUAUUGUUGUAUGUUUAUUUCUGAACUGGUUUGGACUGAAACUUUUCCAACACAACUAAACCCACCACUGAAGAAUUUGUCGAGGAGCUAUGUGCAUGAGAAAUGUUAAUAUUAUUUAAAUAAAACAUUUUAAAUUGGUGUAAAAAUAGAUUUUUAAAACUGAUGAUUUAUAAAUUAAAAGAAAGAAUCCAGAUAUAUGAAAGGAGAUUUUGUUUAUGUUUUAUCAUAUAGAUAUAGUAAUAGGGAAAUAUAAUUAUAUGUCAAAACCCUUGUGCACCAAUGAGCUGAGUGUGAUGAACAUGCUGUCAUUGUAAAAGGGAGAAGUUAUUCCCCUGUGAUAUGUCCUACAACGACCAGUAUAUUUUGUGUCUGAGACUGCCCUGACGUGUUAAGAAUAAAUAUGCAAAUAUUUCAGAUCUUGU